GUAGAGGUACCCAGUGUCACGGCUUCAGACCACCACCAGGGGGAGUUAGAGGUACCCAGCAUUACGGCUUCAUUGCUCCAGACCACCACCAGGGGGAGUUAGAGGUACCCAGCUUACGGCUUCAUUGCUCCAGACCACCACCAGGGGGAGUUAGAGGUACCCAGUGUCACGGCUUCAUUGUUCCAGACCACCACCAGGGGGAGGUAGAGGUACCCAGUGUCACGGCUUCAUUGCUCCAGACCACCACAAGGGGGAGUUAGAGGUACCCAGUGUAACGGCUCCAGACCACCACCAGGGGGAGUUAGAGGUACCCAGUGUCACGGCUUCAUUGCUUCAGACCACCACCAGGGGAGUUAGAGGUACCCAGUGUCAUGGCUCCAGACCACCACCAGGGGGAGUUAGAGGUACCCAGUUUCACA
This is a long non-coding RNA of Oncorhynchus tshawytscha (Chinook salmon), 419 nucleotides long. NCBI's taxonomy places the organism in Eukaryota, Metazoa, Chordata, Actinopteri, Salmoniformes, Salmonidae. The record is from Ensembl.